RNAcentral lists this ribosomal RNA (235 nucleotides) under uncultured Pseudomonadales bacterium. RNAcentral's name for it is "partial 16S ribosomal RNA". It matches the Rfam family "Bacterial small subunit ribosomal RNA", at positions 91 to 334 of the family's 1533-position model. Lineage: Bacteria; Pseudomonadati; Pseudomonadota; Gammaproteobacteria; Pseudomonadales. The record is from RNAcentral.
CUUAGUGGCGGACGGGUGAGUAAUGCUUAGGAAUCUGCCUAGUAGUGGGGGAUAACUUGGGGAAACCCAAGCUAAUACCGCAUACGACCUACGGGUGAAAGGGGGCUUUUAGCUCUCGCUAUUAGAUGAGCCUAAGUCGGAUUAGCUGGUUGGUGGGGUAAAGGCCUACCAAGGCGACGAUCUGUAGCUGGUCUGAGAGGAUGAUCAGCCACACUGGGACUGAGACACGGCCCAG